GCCCCCCUCUUUCUUCUUUCUUAACACAUGCAAGUCGAACGGAAAGGCCCCUUUGGGGGUACUCGAGUGGCGAACGGGUGAGUAACACGUGAGUAACCUGCCCUUGACUUCGGGAUAACUUCAGGAAACUGGGGCUAAUACCGGAUAGGAAUCCUUGCUGCAUGGUGGGGGUUGGAAAGCUUCGGCGGUUUUGGAUGGACUCGCGGCUUAUCAGCUUGUUGGUGGGGUAGUGGCUUACCAAGGCUUUGACGGGUAGCCGGCCUGAGAGGGCGACCGGCCACAUUGGGACUGAGAUACGGCCCAGACUCCUACGGGAGGCAGCAGUGGGGAAUAUUGCACAAUGGGCGGAAGCCUGAUGCAGCAACGCCGCGUGCGGGAUGACGGCCUUCGGGUUGUAAACCGCUUUCAGCAGGGGCGAAGCUUGUGGUGACGGUACCUGCAGAAGAAGCACCGGCUAACUACGUG
RNAcentral lists this ribosomal RNA (465 nucleotides) under uncultured bacterium. RNAcentral describes it as "partial 16S ribosomal RNA". It matches the Rfam family "Bacterial small subunit ribosomal RNA", at positions 36 to 507 of the family's 1533-position model. The record is from RNAcentral.